Molecule: non-coding RNA, 308 nt
Organism: Pelobates cultripes (western spadefoot toad)
Lineage: Eukaryota; Metazoa; Chordata; Amphibia; Anura; Pelobatidae
Source: the annotation of a GenBank genome assembly
CACAAAGGCAGUCACACGCACACAGAGACAGUCACACACAAACACACACAAACAGUCACACACACACAGUCACAGUUACACACACAGUCACACACUCACAGACAGUCACAGUCACACACACAGACAGUCACAGUCACACACACACAGUCACACACACAGUCACACACAGAGACAGUCACAGUCACACACAGGCAGUCACACACAAAGGCAGUCACACGCACACACAGACAGUCACACACAAACACACACUAACAGUCACACACACACAGUCACAGUUACACACACAGUCACACACUCACAGACAGUCA